Molecule: non-coding RNA, 274 nt
Organism: Aegilops tauschii subsp. strangulata
Lineage: Eukaryota; Viridiplantae; Streptophyta; Magnoliopsida; Poales; Poaceae
Source: RefSeq, a predicted model, not a curated record
AUGAACAACAAGUGUGGCCAUCAACUAUGUUUCAUCCAGGCCUCAAGAACACCACAGCCAGACACAAGUCGGAGGUAACGGUCAUUCCAUUUUGCGUAUGGGUAAUGCAAAAAGCAAAGCCGGUGAACAUCAACAAGAAGAGGACGUAGCUACAGGUCAGGCGAGUGGUAAAAAUGUUGAAGAAUACAGUGCAACCUUUGAUACUGAAAAAGAUGAAGCUAUUUGCGCAACAGAACCCGCCCCUACGAGCGAGACAAAUCUGAAAGAAUAUAAU